GCCAACGUAGCUCAACGGUAGAGCACUGGUUUUGUAAACCAGCGGUUAAGGGUUCGAUUCCCUUCGUUGGCU
RNAcentral lists this transfer RNA (72 nucleotides) under Phycisphaerales bacterium. RNAcentral's name for it is "tRNA-Thr". It matches the Rfam family "tRNA". From Rfam's summary of the family: Transfer RNA (tRNA) molecules are approximately 80 nucleotides in length. The record is from RNAcentral. Lineage: Bacteria; Pseudomonadati; Planctomycetota; Phycisphaerae; Phycisphaerales. RNAcentral also lists the same sequence under 1 other name.